RNAcentral lists this ribosomal RNA (252 nucleotides) under uncultured bacterium. Its description in RNAcentral is "partial 16S ribosomal RNA". It matches the Rfam family "Bacterial small subunit ribosomal RNA", at positions 524 to 776 of the family's 1533-position model. The record is from RNAcentral.
UACGGAGGAUGCGAGCGUUAUCCGGAUUUAUUGGGUCUAAAGGGUGCGUAGGCGGUCCGUUAAGUCAGCGGUAAAAUUGCGGGGCUCAACCCCGUCGAGCCGUUGAAACUGGCAGACUUGAGUUGGCGAGAAGUACGCGGAAUGCGCGGUGUAGCGGUGAAAUGCAUAGAUAUCGCGCAGAACUCCGAUUGCGAAGGCAGCGUACCGGCGCCAGACUGACGCUGAGGCACGAAAGCGUGGGGAUCGAACAGG